GCCGCCUCCACCGCCUCGAACCCGGCGCGCGCCGCCGCCUCCAGCCGGGCCGGUAGAGCCGGCAGCUCCGGGAAGAGCCACGAGAGGGCACAGCGGAUUUACUCACUGCUGCUUGGCUGGCCAGGGCAGUGCAGUGCCAUGGGAUUGCUGUGCUGUAUCAUGCACCCUGCCUGCCCUGCAGGCACAGCCCUGUGUGCGCUUUACUGCCUCAUAGAAAUCAGCACUUGCUUACUAUUGGCCAGCUGAAAUUUUGGAGCAGACUCGUCCGUGACUCCUGCGAUGGCAGGGCUGGGAUAAUACAGCAACUCGGCAGCCAGUUCCCUGCCAGAAUUGCGGGGCGGUGCCUGUUGGGACCUGGGAAACUUGCUCUUGUUCAGCCGGAUUAAUGACCCAUGUCACAUGGGGAGCCUGGGGAGUCACUUCCCAGUUUGUGCUUUGACCCCAUGGUAGCGUCACUGCACCGCACAGGGAAAUGUGCUGUCCUCUCCCCAAAGCCAGGGCAGGGAUUUCUGCGUUCACGAGCGUGCUUCAGUCCCAGCCCUACUUCGUUGUGGCCCCUAAAAGCACUCGGCUAAAAAUCCAUACAUCAUAUCCUGGGAAACAAACGCACAGCCUCUACCAGCGUUAUGGCCAUCCUUCAUCAGUGAGCAGCGAGCCGGCUCUGGAUGCGAUAUAAAUCCCAGCAAAGCCAAGAUGGGAGGCAAAGACCGGGCACCCCACAUCCCUCACGUCAGCUUUCAGCCCCGAGCCAUGGGUGGGCAAUCCCCAUGCAGGUCUCUGGGGUGUUCUCCUAUCACCAGAUAUUAAUGAGGAGGCCAGAUUCUCCCCUAGCGCUUGGAGGAGGCCGGCACGGGCAGCGCCUGGGCCUGCUGAGCUGGCAGAUGUUGUUUAACAUUCCCGGCAGUAAUUAAUAGAUGGCUUCAUCACUCUUGUAUGAUUCAAACGUGUCGUCCCGCUUCUUUCCAAAUACAGAGCAGAAAUAUUUGUUAAA
Molecule: long non-coding RNA, 991 nt
Organism: Centrocercus urophasianus (Greater sage-grouse)
Lineage: Eukaryota; Metazoa; Chordata; Aves; Galliformes; Phasianidae
Exons: 2
Source: RefSeq, a predicted model, not a curated record